Molecule: long non-coding RNA, 227 nt
Filed under: Anser brachyrhynchus (Pink-footed goose)
Lineage: Eukaryota; Metazoa; Chordata; Aves; Anseriformes; Anatidae
Description: lncRNA (ENSABRG00000001214.1)
Source: RNAcentral
CAGCAACACUUCAACUCUGCCCUGCUUCUCCUGGAGAAAUAUGGAAACCUCUGUGACAGCUUUACACCAAGAUUCUCUGAUGCCUACUCUCAAGUCAGCUGUUGUCUGCUGUCUCCAGAAGAAAAUUAGUUCCUCUUGCUAUUCAGGUGGAUUUGCUGCUACCAAUUUCUUUGACGACACACUGUGAACAGUGAAUUAGUGCUUUACAGGAGAAGCAAGUGGAAAAG